AGGAACACAAGGUCAGCCAUCAUUUGCCCAGAAUGAGUGGAGUGAGACACAAAUGCAGAGCAAUUUGAUGGAUACUCCUGGCACCAAAUUUCAACAAGGACUCCCUGAAACACAUGACUAUUUUAACAUGGGAUGAUGCUGAAACCCCCGAAGACAAUGAGAUUACCACUCCUGGCACCAAAUUUCAACAAGGACUCCC
Sardina pilchardus (European sardine) is the source of this 199-nucleotide long non-coding RNA. RefSeq lists it as uncharacterized. NCBI's taxonomy places the organism in Eukaryota, Metazoa, Chordata, Actinopteri, Clupeiformes, Clupeidae. The transcript is spliced from 3 exons. The record is from RefSeq and is a predicted model, not a curated record.